Molecule: ribosomal RNA, 229 nt
Filed under: uncultured bacterium
Lineage: Bacteria
Description: partial 16S ribosomal RNA
Rfam family: Bacterial small subunit ribosomal RNA
Source: RNAcentral
UGCGUAGGCGGUUUAAUAAGUCAGAGGUGAAAGCCCGCAGCUCAACUGUGGAAUUGCCUUUGAUACUGUUAGACUUGAAUCAGGUUGAGGUUGGCGGAAUGUGGCAUGUAGCGGUGAAAUGCAUAGAUAUGCCAUAGAACACCAAUUGCGAAGGCAGCUGACUAGACCUGUAUUGACGCUGAGGCACGAAAGCGUGGGGAGCGAACAGGAUUAGAUACCCUGGUAGUCC